GUCGAGCGAACUUAACUAAAUGAAUGCGGUGCUUGCACCAAGUGAUUUUAGAGCGGUGAGCGGCGGAUGGGUGAGUAACACGUGGGUAACCUGCCUCUAAGCAGGGGAUAACAUUUGGAAACAGAUGCUAAUACCGUAUAAAUCCUAAAACCACAUGGUUUUAGGCUGAAAGGCGGCUUCGGCUGUCACUUAGAGAUGGACCCGCGGCGUAUUAGCUAGUUGGUGAGGUAAUGGCUCACCAAGGCAAUGAUACGUAGCCGAACUGAGAGGUUGAUCGGCCACAUUGGGACUGAGACACGGCCCAAACUCCUACGGGAGGCAGCAGUAGGGAAUCUUCCACAAUGGACGCAAGUCUGAUGGAGCAACGCCGCGUGAGUGAAGAAGGCUUUCGGGUCGUAAAACUCUGUUGUUGAAGAAGAACACGUUUGAGAGUAACUGUUCAGACGUUGACGGUAUUCAACCAGAAAGCCACGGCUAACUACGUGCCAGCAGCCGCGGUAAUACGUAGGUGGCAAGCGUUAUCCGGAUUUAUUGGGCGUAAAGCGAGCGCAGGCGGUUUUUUAAGUCUGAUGUGAAAGCCCUCGGCUUAACCGAGGAAGUGCAUCGGAAACUGGGAAACUUGAAUGCUGAAGAGGAC
RNAcentral lists this ribosomal RNA (637 nucleotides) under Lacticaseibacillus pantheris. RNAcentral's name for it is "bacterial SSU rRNA". It matches the Rfam family "Bacterial small subunit ribosomal RNA", at positions 61 to 659 of the family's 1533-position model. The record is from RNAcentral. Lineage: Bacteria; Bacillati; Bacillota; Bacilli; Lactobacillales; Lactobacillaceae.